RNAcentral lists this ribosomal RNA (441 nucleotides) under uncultured bacterium. Its description in RNAcentral is "partial 16S ribosomal RNA". It matches the Rfam family "Bacterial small subunit ribosomal RNA", at positions 338 to 795 of the family's 1533-position model. The record is from RNAcentral.
CCUACGGGAGGCAGCAGUGGGGAAUAUUGGGCAAUGGGCGAAAGCCUGACCCAGCAACGCCGCGUGAAGGAAGAAGGCUUUCGGGUUGUAACCUUCUUUGAUAGGGGAGGGCAGUAGACGGUACCUGUCGGAAAAGCCCCGGCUAAACACGGGCCACCAGCCGCGGUAAUACGUAGGUGGGAAGCGUUGUCCGGAUUUCAUGGGGGGAAAGGGGGUGGAGCCGGGCUGAAAAGUCAGAUGUGAAAUUCGGGGGCUCAACCCCCGAACUGCAUUUGAAACCGUUGGUCUUGAGUGUUGGAGAGGCAGGCGGAAUUCCUAGUGUAGCGGUGAAAUGCGUAGAUAUUAGGAGGAACACCAGUGGCGAAGGCGGCCUGCUGGACGACAACUGACGGUGAGGCGCGAAAGCGUGGGGAGCAAACAGGAUUAGAUACCCGGGUAGUC